Molecule: ribosomal RNA, 164 nt
Filed under: uncultured bacterium
Lineage: Bacteria
Description: partial 16S rRNA
Rfam family: Bacterial small subunit ribosomal RNA
Source: RNAcentral
UAGGGAAUCUUCCACAAUGGGCGAAAGCCUGAUGGAGCAACGCCGCGUGUGUGAUGAAGGGUUUCGGCUCGUAAAACAUUGUUGUAAGAGAAGAAUGACAUUGAGAGUAACUGUUCAAUGUGUGACGGUAUCUUACCAGAAAGGAACGGCUAAAUACGCGCCAG